UGAACCCAGAUCGGCCCGGG
This 20-nucleotide microRNA is filed under the name Sus scrofa (pig). RNAcentral's name for it is "ssc-miR-9845-5p". The record is from miRBase by way of RNAcentral. Lineage: Eukaryota; Metazoa; Chordata; Mammalia; Artiodactyla; Suidae.